AUUCUCUCACAGAGGAUGUGUGUCCCUUUAAAGACUCUCAGGCAUGACUCAGGUAAAUGCUUCAGCUCAAAGACUGAUAGUCCCAAAUCACUCUCAAGGCUGAGAGGAAAUACUUGUCCCUAUGAACUACAAAUCCCAGUAUGCCGGGAAGUUCUCAGUCCCAUGUUACCGCAAACUCACUUAUUAAUGUCUCUUCAAUACAAGGCCUAUCUAGCCUUUCAGCUGAAAAUGGGAUCCAACUGAAACACCUGGUCUAGUCCUGAUUAGACAUUAUGCCACUAAGCACCAGACAGUUUUUUUCAGGUUGAUCACCUUAUUUCAACUGACUGGAAUGGUGUUAUCCUACAACUUCAGCAGCUGUAAUCACUACCAAAUGGCAAGUGACUAUGAAAAUACAAUAUACAAUAAGAAACUGGAAACUUUGUAUUAUUCGGAAUCGUCAUCAUCUGAAAAUAGUAAUUUGUUCUGUGAAACCAAGAGUGGUUGUCUAACUGUCAUAGAGCAGCUUGCCCACAAUUGGUCAAACAACUGUUCCUCUGAAAUGGGGGAAACUGUUGAAGAUUUCGUGAAUAGGACUCGCAUUGCCCUGAAGAAUUAUUGUCCAGUCUUCCAGGGAAAUCAGGCAAACAACACACAGCCACCAAAAAAGAAUACGGAAGAAAGAAUUGAAAAAAUGACGUGCUCUGAAAUAGCUAGAAAUUUAUUAGAAAUUUGGAGAGACUACUGGAGAGAAACAGAAAAGUCAGCUAGAAGAAGGGGGGAAAAGGAAGAGAAGAUAAAGUCUGAAUAAGUGAUAUAAAACUACUGAAAAGAACUUGCAAGGAGAAAAAAUGUAGCCACAUUUUUAGCUCAGAUUUUUAAAAUUCUUGGAACAAUAAGAAUGAUGAGGUCAAAUAUACGUAUCAAUCCUGAAAAACACCUUUAAUGUUUAUAAAGAUUAUUUAUAUUUUUGAAACAUUUGCAGAGUGGAUUUUUAACUUGUUUUGUG
RNAcentral lists this long non-coding RNA (988 nucleotides) under Phascolarctos cinereus (koala). Its description in RNAcentral is "lncRNA (ENSPCIG00000004396.2)". The record is from RNAcentral. Lineage: Eukaryota; Metazoa; Chordata; Mammalia; Diprotodontia; Phascolarctidae.